RNAcentral lists this ribosomal RNA (504 nucleotides) under uncultured bacterium. Its description in RNAcentral is "partial 16S ribosomal RNA". It matches the Rfam family "Bacterial small subunit ribosomal RNA", at positions 355 to 874 of the family's 1533-position model. The record is from RNAcentral.
UGGGGAAUCUUGCGCAAUGGGCGAAAGCCUGACGCAGCCACGCCGCGUGAGUGAUGAAGGCCUUAGGGUUGUAAAGCUCUUUUACCAGGGAUGAUAAUGACAGUACCUGGAGAAUAAGCUCCGGCUAACUCCGUGCCAGCAGCCGCGGUAAUACGGAGGGAGCUAGCGUUGUUCGGAAUUACUGGGCGUAAAGCGCACGUAGGCGGCGAUUCAAGUCAGAGGUGAAAGCCCGGGGCUCAACCCCGGAACUGCCUUUGAAACUAGAUUGCUAGAAUCCUGGAGAGGUGAGUGGAAUUCCGAGUGUAAGGUGAAAUUCGUAGAUAUUCGGAAGAACACCAGUGGCGAAGGCGACUCACUGGACAGGUAUUGACGCUGAGGUGCGAAAGCGUGGGGGAGCAAACAGGAUUAGAUACCCUGGUAGUCCACGCCGUAAAACCGAUGAUAACUAGCUGUCCGGGCUCAUAGAGCUUGGGUGGCGCAGCUAACGCAUUAAGUUAUCCGCCU